CAAAAACAUGUCUUUUUGAUUAUAAUUUAAAGUCUUGCCUGCCCAAUGAUUAAUUUAAUGGCCGCAGUAUUUUGACUGUGCAAAGGUAGCAUAAUCAUUAGUUUUUUAAUUGAAAGCUGGAAUGAAUGGUUUGAUGAAAAAUAAACUGUCUCUUUGUAAAUUCUUUAGAAUUUUAAUUUUAAGUGAAAAAGCUUAAAUUUUAUAAAAAGACGAGAAGACCCUAUAGAGUUUUAUAAUUUAAAUUAUUAAGGAUUUUUUGAAUUGUUUUUUUUUGAUGGUUUUAAUUAUUUUAUUGGGGUGAUAUAAAAAUUUAAUAAACUUUUUAUUUGUUUUUACAUUUAUUUAUGAUUAUUUGAUCCUUUAUUUAGGAUUAUAAGAUAAAAUUACCUUAGGGAUAACAGCGUAAUUUUUUUGGAAAGUUCUUAUUUAUAAAAAAGUUUGCGACCUCGAUGUUGGAUUAAAAUUUAUUUUUGGUGUAGAAGCUAAAAUAUUAGGUCUGUUCGACCUUUAAAAUUUUACAUGAUCU
RNAcentral lists this ribosomal RNA (526 nucleotides) under Zeadelium thoracicum. Its description in RNAcentral is "partial 16S ribosomal RNA". It matches the Rfam family "Bacterial large subunit ribosomal RNA", at positions 1808 to 2606 of the family's 2925-position model. Lineage: Eukaryota; Metazoa; Arthropoda; Insecta; Coleoptera; Tenebrionidae. The record is from RNAcentral.